Molecule: ribosomal RNA, 496 nt
Filed under: uncultured bacterium
Lineage: Bacteria
Description: partial 16S ribosomal RNA
Rfam family: Bacterial small subunit ribosomal RNA
Source: RNAcentral
AUGCACGCUGGCGGCGUGCCUAAUACAUGCAAGUCGAGCGCACAGAUGAGGAGCUUGCUCCUCUGACGUUAGCGGCGGACGGGUGAGUAACACGUGGAUAACCUACCUAUAAGACUGGGAUAACUUCGGGAAACCGGAGCUAAUACCGGAUAAUAUAUUGAACCGCAUGGUUCAAUAGUGAAAGACGGUUUUGCUGUCACUUAUAGAUGGAUCCGCGCUGCAUUAGCUAGUUGGUAAGGUAACGGCUUACCAAGGCAACGAUGCGUAGCCGACCUGAGAGGGUGAUCGGCCACACUGGAACUGAGACACGGUCCAGACUCCUACGGGAGGCAGCAGUAGGGAAUCUUCCGCAAUGGGCGAAAGCCUGACGGAGCAACGCCGCGUGAGUGAUGAAGGUCUUCGGAUCGUAAAACUCUGUUAUUAGGGAAGAACAAAUGUGUAAGUAACUAUGCACGUCUUGACGGUACCUAAUCAGAAAGCCACGGCUAACUACGUG